ACCAAAUUACUACAUACAACAAACAGCAUUGCUGCACUGUAGCCCCUCACCGAGAUCAAUCAACUCUCAUUCACCCUCACGUAUAUCAAUAAGCCACAAUUUAAGUUAUAACAGUUGUAAUGAAUAUUUCAAUGGAUUUAGAUAGACCUAAUGUGGUUGAAUAACCAAGACUGAAGGCAUGAAUAAUUAUGAAAGGGCGAAAUAUGUGUCAGCACUGUGGUCGCCACUAGUCAUAUAACGCUCCAUCAUAAAUCUGCUUGUUCAGUACACAACGAUAAGGUUUACUGCUUGUUCAGCUCGUUAGGUAUGGACACACCAUUGGUAGGCGGUAAUGCACGUCAUAGUUAGAAAACCCAGCGAUUGGCCUGUUACUUCCGAUUGACGUCAUAUCUAUGUUAAUGACGUUCACACUUAGAGUUCGACAGUGGAAUCUCAUCAGUCAGGAGAUCAGACAACAACCACCUCCCGUUCUGUUCUAACGUUGCCCUGUUACAAGAAAAUAGUUUUAGCCGUACUGUCGUGAAAGGGAGAUCGCACUUGACGGUGACACUGAAGAUCGAGUCAUCAAUAAGCUGUCAACAGCCACCGUUGCAAGCGAGCUAUUGGACAUACAAAAGCUAUUAUAGGCAUCCCCACAGCAAGUUAUACUGUAUCCAUCAGUUUCAUUUUGUAGAUACACCAGUCGACAUAAGGAAGAGAAACCAUGCACAUGUCCGUGUCACUUGUUGGUCACAGUCAACUUCCCAACAAUUUGGGAGUGAGGGGAGCGAAGGUUAGAAUAUUUAGAGGUCCUGGAGGUAAAGCUUAUAAUUUUUGGAAUGAUGAGCGUGUGCUCUGUACUGAAUUGGGAACAUGACCUGUGUAUUUUAUGGAUAGGCUCUAAUGACAUAGAUGAUGAUUCUGAAGUGCAGGAAAUAGUAGACGAUAUAGUGUCCAUCAGGGACUCAUAGUUGAAAACUGUGGAGCUGAUGUAAUGGUAGUUCUGGUGGAACCACGAUACUACCCAGAUGAUUACCCAGUGUCUAGUGACCGGUAUCGUCAUAUUCAAAGGGGCAUAAAUCGUAAACUAAAGAGAGAAUUGUCAAAUGAUAGUUUCAUUCAGUUUAACAUGCCUGUAUAUGAAGAGCUGUUGAGCUCAGAUGGGGUACAUUGGACUUAUGAAGGGAAGCAGAUGAUUAAAAAGAAACUCAGAAAUGUCAUCCGGAGAUACUUGAACUGAGACGAUAGCUAGUAAAUACCUGAAAAGACUCCUGCUACAUUAAAGGGUUAAGUAAAAGGGAAAGUGUGAUUUAAAACCAACUGUUGUCUAGCAGGUUAUGUGUAUUUAGAUAAGGACUAUAUAUAGGUCCACCAUCUAAGAAUGUGAAAUCCCAUACAGUGAAUUAUGAGUAGCAUCUUAGUUAUGGAAAAUUUAUUUUAGUAAGUAUAAGCAUGUUAAUUAACUGAUAUUCAUGAAAUAUAUGUAUAAGUAAUAUGCAAUCUUAAAAUUUAAGAAAGAAAAAAAAAUACAUGAUAUAUGUAUGUAUAUAUUUAUAUCUUUGUCACCAUAAUUUUGUUAAGUGUUAACAAAUAUUAAUUAAUUAGUAUAGAUAUUUCAAAACUAUCAGAAAAAAAAAUGCGUGAUUUAUGUAUCUUUAUAUUCGUCACCGUGCACAGUUUUAUUGUGUCAACAAAUAUUAAUUAUUUGAUAUUCAGGGAAUAUAUGUAGGCAAUAUAAAUUU
RNAcentral lists this long non-coding RNA (1721 nucleotides) under Portunus trituberculatus (swimming crab). RNAcentral's name for it is "uncharacterized LOC123511346, transcript variant X1". The record is from RNAcentral. Lineage: Eukaryota; Metazoa; Arthropoda; Malacostraca; Decapoda; Portunidae.